GGGGAAGUAGCUCAGUUGGGAGAGCAUCGCCUUCGCAAGGCGGGGGCCGGGAGUUCAAGUCUCCUCUUCUCCACCA
RNAcentral lists this transfer RNA (76 nucleotides) under Desulfovibrio sp. Its description in RNAcentral is "tRNA-Ala". It matches the Rfam family "tRNA". From Rfam's summary of the family: Transfer RNA (tRNA) molecules are approximately 80 nucleotides in length. Their secondary structure includes four short double-helical elements and three loops (D, anti-codon, and T loops). The record is from RNAcentral. Lineage: Bacteria; Pseudomonadati; Thermodesulfobacteriota; Desulfovibrionia; Desulfovibrionales; Desulfovibrionaceae.